Molecule: ribosomal RNA, 450 nt
Filed under: uncultured bacterium
Lineage: Bacteria
Description: partial 16S ribosomal RNA
Rfam family: Bacterial small subunit ribosomal RNA
Source: RNAcentral
GUGGGGAAUUUUGGACAAUGGGCGCAAGCCUGAUCCAGCAAUGCCGCGUGCAGGAAGAAGGCCUUCGGGUUGUAAACUGCUUUUGUACGGAACGAAACGGUCCUGGUUAAUACCCGGGGCUAAUGACGGUACCGUAAGAAUAAGCACCGGCUAACUACGUGCCAGCAGCCGCGGUAAUACGUAGGGUGCAAGCGUUAAUCGGAAUUACUGGGCGUAAAGCGUGCGCAGGCGGUGCUGUAAGACAGGCGUGAAAUCCCCGGGCUCAACCUGGGAAUUGCGCUUGUGACUGCAGUGCUGGAGUACGGCAGAGGGGGAUGGAAUUCCGCGUGUAGCAGUGAAAUGCGUAGAUAUUCGGAGGAACACCGAUGGCGAAGGCAGUCCCCUGGGCCUGUACUGACGCUCAUGCACGAAAGCGUGGGGAGCAAACAGGAUUAGAUACCCUAGUAGUCC